AGUUUACUAUUUCAAACUUUGGCCAUCUUCCAAACUUUAACCAGUACUCAAUGAAAUGAUUGUUUGUGGAACCUGUUUCCGGAAUAUUUUUGUUGGUAAAAGUAAAAGUGGCCACAGGUUCCGGAAGCCAGCUUGGGUGGCACUUUACGACGUCAUCCUCGUCGUCAUUGUUAUGUUGUUUUCGUCGCUAUCGGGAGAAGCCAACUCUAGCCCAAAAAUUACGAUAAUCGCAGUCACAAAACGGGCAAAAGUGCAUCAAAUGUGGCCAAAAAUAUUUUGUUAGUAUAUUUAUUAGGUCAAUAAACGAGAAUAAAUGAUGUUUUAUUUUUAAAAUCAAUCGAAAA
This is a long non-coding RNA of Culex quinquefasciatus (southern house mosquito), 344 nucleotides long. RefSeq lists it as uncharacterized. The record is from RefSeq and is a predicted model, not a curated record. The transcript has 2 exons. NCBI's taxonomy places the organism in Eukaryota, Metazoa, Arthropoda, Insecta, Diptera, Culicidae.